Long non-coding RNA from Bufo gargarizans (Asiatic toad), 220 nucleotides. RefSeq lists it as uncharacterized. Lineage: Eukaryota; Metazoa; Chordata; Amphibia; Anura; Bufonidae. The transcript has 3 exons. The record is from RefSeq and is a predicted model, not a curated record.
CCCAUACCCUCAAUGUAUAUAUAAUAGCACACCAGUAGUAUCCCUGCAUCACCAGGAGACAAUACACAGUGCAUCAUCCAGGAAAAAAGUUAGACCUCCCAGUUAAACAUGACACGAACAAUCACAUUGCUGCUGAUAUCCCUAGGUGUGCUCCUUGCUCUGGUAACAGCACAAUCAAUAGAUGGUAAGGAUUUGUUACUAUAAGAAUUAGAUUUUACUU